Small nuclear RNA from Trichosurus vulpecula (common brushtail), 103 nucleotides. Lineage: Eukaryota; Metazoa; Chordata; Mammalia; Diprotodontia; Phalangeridae. The record is from RefSeq and is a predicted model, not a curated record.
UUGCUUUGGCAUCACAUAUACUAAAAUGUGUAUGACACAGAGAAAAUUAGCUUGACUCCUGUGCAAAGAUGACAUGCAAGUUUCUGAAGUAGGUAAAUAGUUU